This 30-nucleotide ribosomal RNA is filed under the name Ditylenchus destructor. RNAcentral's name for it is "partial 5.8S ribosomal RNA". The record is from RNAcentral. Lineage: Eukaryota; Metazoa; Nematoda; Chromadorea; Rhabditida; Anguinidae.
UUUAGCUUAUCGGUGGAUCACUCGGCUCGU